UGUCUGCUGGUUACAACACUUUCUUCUUUCAAUAAGCACAAUACUGCAGUACAAUGGGGAUUUUAACAGCUCUCUGUAUAAUAGUGACAGCUCUAUCAAGUGUCCGGUCUGAUGUAGUGUUGACUGAGUCCGGAGCAGGAGUUGCAAAGCCUGGAGGGUCCCAUAAACUGUCCUGUAAAGCCUCUGGAUUCACAUUCAGCAGCUACUACAUGAGCUGGGUUCGACAAGCUCCUGGAAAGGGUCUGGAAUGGGUGGCUUACAUUAGCAGCAGUGCUGCUGGUAGUAGUACAAGCUAUGCCCCGUCUGUCCAGGGAAGAUUCACCAUCUCCAGAGACGAUUCCAACAGCAUGCUGUAUUUACAAAUGAACAGCCUGAAGACUGAAGACUCUGCCCUGUAUUACUGUGCUCGAUACUCACAGUGA
Non-coding RNA from Polyodon spathula (Mississippi paddlefish), 422 nucleotides. The record is from the annotation of a RefSeq genome assembly. NCBI's taxonomy places the organism in Eukaryota, Metazoa, Chordata, Actinopteri, Acipenseriformes, Polyodontidae.